AGGAAGAGUCUUUGACUGUCCGGGAGGCGUUGAGGAUCAAGGGGAUUCUCGAUAACUACGAACAAGAGGUUAUUUUUAAUUACACUUUAUGUUCUUGAGAAUGCCCAGGAGUAUUUGGAAACUAAGAUGCUCUGUUGGUUGAUCAAAUGAAAAUCUGUCCAACAUUUUUAUAGCUUUUACAGAUUCUUGCAAGUGCUUUUGUGCUAAUAUAUUUGUUGCCAGUUUAAUUUGCAUGA
Ipomoea nil (Japanese morning glory) is the source of this 236-nucleotide long non-coding RNA. RefSeq lists it as uncharacterized. The record is from RefSeq and is a predicted model, not a curated record. The transcript has 2 exons. NCBI's taxonomy places the organism in Eukaryota, Viridiplantae, Streptophyta, Magnoliopsida, Solanales, Convolvulaceae.